UGUCUAUCGAGUUUCGGCGUGUAAGUUGUGUUUCUAUCGAGUUUCUGACCUAUCAGCUUUUGAUGUUAGGGUAUUGGCCUAACAUGGCUAUGACGGGUAACGGGGAAUUAGAGUUCGAUUCCGGAGAGGGAGCCUGAGAAAUAGCUACCACAUCUAAGGAAGGCAGCAGGCGCGUAAAUUACCCAAUUCUAAAGAAGAGAGGUAGUGACAAGAAAUAACAAUACAAGGCCAAUCUGGCUUUGUAAUUGGAAUGAUGGGAAUUUAAAACCUUCCCAAAACUCAAUUGGAGGGCAAGUCUGGUGCCAGCAGCCGCGGUAAUUCCAGCUCCAAUAGCGUAUAUUAAAAUUGUUGCAGUUAAAACGCUCGUAGUUGAAUUUCAAAGAAUCGAUAUUUUAAGCAACGCUUCUAGCUUAAUCCACAUAACUGAUACUU
This 432-nucleotide ribosomal RNA is filed under the name Plasmodium vivax (malaria parasite P. vivax). RNAcentral describes it as "SSU rRNA". It matches the Rfam family "Eukaryotic small subunit ribosomal RNA", at positions 260 to 696 of the family's 1831-position model. The record is from RNAcentral. Lineage: Eukaryota; Apicomplexa; Aconoidasida; Haemosporida; Plasmodiidae.